UGGCGGGACGGGGUGGAGGUAACGCGUGGGUAACCUGCCUCAUACAGGGGAGUAACAGUUAGAAAUGGCUGCUAAUACCGCAUAAGACCACAGCACCGCAUGGUGCAGGGGUAAAAACUCCGGUGGUAUGAGAUGGACCCGCGUCUGAUUAGCUGGUUGGUGGGGUAACGGCCUACCAAGGCGACGAUCAGUAGCCGACCUGAGAGGGUGACCGGCCACAUUGGGACUGGGACACGGCCCAA
Molecule: ribosomal RNA, 242 nt
Filed under: uncultured bacterium
Lineage: Bacteria
Description: partial 16S ribosomal RNA
Rfam family: Bacterial small subunit ribosomal RNA
Source: RNAcentral